AUGAACGCUGGCGGCAUGCCUUACACAUGCAAGUCGAACGGCAGCACGGGAGCAAUCCUGGUGGCGAGUGGCGAACGGGUGAGUAAUACAUCGGAACGUGCCCAAUCGUGGGGGAUAACGCAGCGAAAGCUGUGCUAAUACCGCAUACGAUCUACGGAUGAAAGCAGGGGACCGCAAGGCCUUGUGCGAAUGGAGCGGCCGAUGGCAGAUUAGGUAGUUGGUGAGGUAAAGGCUCACCAAGCCUUCGAUCUGUAGCUG
Molecule: ribosomal RNA, 258 nt
Filed under: Variovorax sp. ISO57_OTU223
Lineage: Bacteria; Pseudomonadati; Pseudomonadota; Betaproteobacteria; Burkholderiales; Comamonadaceae
Description: partial 16S ribosomal RNA
Rfam family: Bacterial small subunit ribosomal RNA
Source: RNAcentral